AUUUUCCAGUGGUGUGAAAGCACUUUGUCCUCUUCGUCAUAUGUCUGAAUUUGAAAUUGUAAAACCCAGGAAAAAAUUCCAGGUUGGAGCAGAAUUAGUCUUUCGUGUUCUUGGUUGCAAGUCAAAGAGAAUCACUAUUACACACAAGAAGACACUAGUUAAAUCAAAACUUGAAAUUCUUGGUUCUUAUGCUGAUGCUACUGAAGGACUAACAACGCAUGGAUGGAUAACAAAGAUUGAAAACCAUGG
RNAcentral lists this unclassified non-coding RNA (249 nucleotides) under Hevea brasiliensis (rubber tree). Lineage: Eukaryota; Viridiplantae; Streptophyta; Magnoliopsida; Malpighiales; Euphorbiaceae. The record is from RNAcentral.